This 426-nucleotide ribosomal RNA is filed under the name uncultured bacterium. Its description in RNAcentral is "bacterial SSU rRNA". It matches the Rfam family "Bacterial small subunit ribosomal RNA", at positions 355 to 796 of the family's 1533-position model. The record is from RNAcentral.
UGGGGAAUCUUGCGCAAUGGGCGAAAGCCUGACGCAGCAACGCCGCGUGAGGGAUGAAGGCCUUCGGGUUGUAAACCUCUUUCAAGCAGGGACGAUAAUGACGGUACCUGCAGAAGAAGCUCCGGCCAACUACGUGCCAGCAGCCGCGGUAAUACGUAGGGAGCGAGCGUUGUCCGGAUUCAUUGGGCGUAAAGAGCUCGUAGGCGGCUUGAUAAGUCGGAUGUGAAACCUCCAGGCUCAACCUGGAGUCGCCAUCCGAUACUGUCAUGGCUAGAGUCCGGUAGGGGCCCACGGAACUCCUGGUGUAGCGGUGAAAUGCGCAGAUAUCAGGAAGAACACCGAUGGCGAAGGCAGUGGGCUGGGCCGGUACUGACGCUGAGGAGCGAAAGCGUGGGGAGCGAACAGGAUUAGAUACCCCCGUAGUCC